UGGGGAAUAUUGCACAAUGGGGGGAACCCUGAUGCAGCGACGCCGCGUGAGUGAAGAAGUAUUUCGGUAUGUAAAGCUCUAUCAGCAGGGAAGAAAGAAAUGACGGUACCUGACUAAGAAGCACCGGCUAAAUACGUGCCAGCAGCCGCGGUAAUACGUAUGGUGCAAGCGUUAUCCGGAUUUACUGGGUGUAAAGGGAGCGCAGGCGGCGCGCUAAGUCUGAUGUGAAAGCCCGGGGCUCAACUCCGGGACUGCAUUGGAAACUGGCGGGCUGGAGUGCCGGAGAGGUAAGCGGAAUUCCUAGUGUAGCGGUGAAAUGCGUAGAUAUUAGGAGGAACACCAGUGGCGAAGGCGGCUUACUGGACGGUGACUGACGCUGAGGCUCGAAAGCGUGGGGAGCAAACAGG
This 407-nucleotide ribosomal RNA is filed under the name uncultured bacterium. RNAcentral's name for it is "bacterial SSU rRNA". It matches the Rfam family "Bacterial small subunit ribosomal RNA", at positions 355 to 776 of the family's 1533-position model. The record is from RNAcentral.